This 592-nucleotide long non-coding RNA is filed under the name Musa acuminata (dwarf banana). RNAcentral's name for it is "long non-coding RNA (MACU_LNC001578)". Lineage: Eukaryota; Viridiplantae; Streptophyta; Magnoliopsida; Zingiberales; Musaceae. The record is from RNAcentral.
GUGCCUCUUCUUAUCCUGUCAACAAAGAAGACAAAUCUAAGCACAGAUACUGAGUCAACUAUAAAGAUGAACAAAGCAACACGCAGACUCCUCCCCGACUUAUUUCUCAGUUUACUCACCAGAUCAGAAGCAAGCAGUAACGCUCCAGAGGCGAUAAAUACCACACUCAGCGACCUGCUUUACCUUGUCCGCCGCCCCCUUUAACGCUUUGCUCCAGCUUAAGCUUCUCUUCCAGCCACCUCGAAGCCAUGCCGUAGACCCCUUUGAUGGGAUCCACGGCGUCUGGCUCGUCCACUACCCUAUCGCCCGCCUGACGCAACCUCUCCCUCGCCAUCAUCUUGAGGUAGCAGGAGUGUACGCCAUCCAUGUUCUCCUUCAACCACGACGUGCCGUCCAGUCCCGAUUGAUCCAUCAUGAUCAUGAUCUCCGAAACAACAUCGCCAACGGUGGCCGACACGUUCCUGAAGAUGUCUUCGCUUCCUCGAGGGAGAUCGCUGUUGGAGCUCCUGCUCCUCCCGAGCUGUGGCUGCGCAGGAACCGUGUUCCUGGGGAAGACCGGCGCCCGACACGCCAACUCGGUGGCGUUGCCGAC